RNAcentral lists this ribosomal RNA (289 nucleotides) under uncultured bacterium. Its description in RNAcentral is "partial 16S ribosomal RNA". It matches the Rfam family "Bacterial small subunit ribosomal RNA", at positions 337 to 641 of the family's 1533-position model. The record is from RNAcentral.
GCCUACGGGGCGCAGCAGUGGGGAAUAUUGGGCAAUGGGCGCAAGCCUGACCCAGCAACGCCGCGUGAAGGAAGAAGGCUUUCGGGUUGUAAACUUCUUUUCUUGGGGACGAAGAAAGUGACGGUACCCAAGGAAUAAGCCACGGCUAACUACGUGCCAGCAGCCGCGGUAAUACGGAGGAUGCGAGCGUUAUCCGGAUUCAUUGGGUUUAAAGGGUGCGCAGGCGGGCCUUUAAGCCGGCGGUGAAAUCGCGGGGCCCAACCCCGCCGAGCCGUCGGAACUGGGGGCC